This 522-nucleotide ribosomal RNA is filed under the name uncultured bacterium. RNAcentral's name for it is "bacterial SSU rRNA". It matches the Rfam family "Bacterial small subunit ribosomal RNA", at positions 987 to 1509 of the family's 1533-position model. The record is from RNAcentral.
UACUAAGAACUUUCCAGAGAUGGAUUGGUGCCUUCGGGAACUUAGAUACAGGUGCUGCAUGGCUGUCGUCAGCUCGUGUCGUGAGAUGUUGGGUUAAGUCCCGCAACGAGCGCAACCCUUUCCUUAUUUGCCAGCGGGUCAUGCCGGGAACUUUAAGGAUACUGCCAGUGACAAACUGGAGGAAGGCGGGGACGACGUCAAGUCAUCAUGGCCCUUACGGCCAGGGCUACACACGUGCUACAAUGGUCGGUACAAAGGGUUGCUACCUCGCGAGAGGAUGCUAAUCUCAAAAAGCCGAUCGUAGUCCGGAUCGCAGUCUGCAACUCGACUGCGUGAAGUCGGAAUCGCUAGUAAUCGCGGAUCAGAAUGCCGCGGUGAAUACGUUCCCGGGCCUUGUACACACCGCCCGUCACACCAUGGGAGUUUGUUGCACCAGAAGUAGGUAGUCUAACCGCAAGGAGGACGCUUACCACGGUGUGGCCGAUGACUGGGGUGAAGUCGUAACAAGGUAGGCGUAGAUGA